UUUUCUUAUAAACAUUCCAAAGAGCAUUUAAGUUUUACUGAUUUUUGUUUCACCUUGACUGAGUCAAAAAGCUACAUACACGUAGGUUUGCUGUUUCAGAUUUAAACGGAAUGGAAGUCAAGAAUGUAUUAGUUUAUGAUGAAGGUCAGUUUAUUUGAAACCACCAGUGGUAGAUCAAUGAUAUUUGGUAUGCAGUUAUAUUAGCAUUGGCAAAUCUCAUUUCCAUGGAGAUUUUAUGGCCCUGUCCUCAGUCAUGUUCUAAUAACUUUGAAUAGAAGUCAAGAAUGUAUUAGUUUAUGAUAAGGUCGGUUUAUUUGGAACCACCAGUGGUAGAUCAAUGAUAUUUGGUAUGCAGUUAUAUUAGCAUUGUCAAAUCUCAUUUCCAUGGAGAUUUUAUGGCCCUGUCCUCAGUCAUGUUCUAUUGACUUUGAAUGUUUAGCAUAAUUUACAUGUUAAAGUUUGUAAUAAGUUAAGUUUAAGG
RNAcentral lists this long non-coding RNA (481 nucleotides) under Mytilus galloprovincialis (Mediterranean mussel). The record is from RNAcentral. Lineage: Eukaryota; Metazoa; Mollusca; Bivalvia; Mytilida; Mytilidae.